RNAcentral lists this ribosomal RNA (481 nucleotides) under uncultured bacterium. RNAcentral's name for it is "partial 16S ribosomal RNA". It matches the Rfam family "Bacterial small subunit ribosomal RNA", at positions 28 to 507 of the family's 1533-position model. The record is from RNAcentral.
GAUGAACGCUGGCGGCGUGCUUAACACAUGCAAGUCGAACGAAGCAUCUGCGACAGUUUUUUUCGGAAUGAAGUUGCUUAUGAGUGAGUGACGGACGGGUGAGUAACGUGUGGGUAAGAUGCCUUGUACUGGGGGAUAGCAGCAGGAAACGGCUGGUAAUACCGCAUAAGCGCACAAUGUUGCAUGCCAUGGUGUGAAAAACUCGGGUGGGAUAAGAUGGACGCGCGUCUGUUUAGCGAGUUGGUGAGUUAAAAGCCCACCAAGGCGGCGAGCAGUAGCCGAGCGGGGAGGGUGACCGGCCACAUCGGGGCUGAGACACGGCCCAGAAUCCUACGGGAGGCAGCAGUGGGGAAUAUAGCACAAUGGAGGAAGCUCUGAUGCAGCGACGCCGCGUGAGUGAAGAAGUAAGUCGUUAUCUAAAGCUCUAUCAGCAGAGAAGAUAGUGACGGUACCUGAUGAAGAAGCUCCGGCUAAAUACGUG